This is a long non-coding RNA of Carassius auratus (goldfish), 1645 nucleotides long. RefSeq lists it as uncharacterized. Lineage: Eukaryota; Metazoa; Chordata; Actinopteri; Cypriniformes; Cyprinidae. The record is from RefSeq and is a predicted model, not a curated record. The transcript has 6 exons.
CACCAUUUUUAUUUUUGGUUGAACUAUCCCUUUAAUACUUUUUUUUCCACAGUAGGCCUGUGUGAUGACUUUUAUUUUUCGAUAUCCGAAGAGAAUUCUCAUUUUUUUCUGAGUUUUAUUUAAUUUAUUUGCCUAUUAAUAAUAUUAAAAAAAAUCAGUAAGUAUUUCAGACGUUUUCUUUCUUAAUUCCUUUUUAAAUAAAAUUCAUUCAAGCAAUCGGGACAAUCUUACUGGCUGGUUGUCUCUCUUCCUCGUCAACAUCAACACCUCCACUGUCAUGUCGAGACAGGGUCUGGCGAGGUAUCUUUGCCAUACAGUGAGGUUCCAGGUAUAACUUAUAUUUCUGCCUAUUUCUACGCAUCUUUGUAAAAAAAAAAAAAAAAAAACCCAACAACAACAACAACAACAAAAAAAAAAAACUAUAAAAAAUGUACAGUGCUUGAGACGAAUCGUUGACGGAGCGCUUUGUCACGUACGAGGGGGCGGAGCUUAGCUUGCGCGAGACUAACAUAUCAACUGAAAAUAACGGUAGAAUUUUAAAACUGAUUUGCCAUCGUUCACUUGCGAAACCGCUCUACUUUUCAGUCAGCAUGUUUGCCUACGUCCGGUUUAUCGACGACAACAUCCGUCAGAUUGUUCCCUUGGACCAUAUAAAAGACUUCUGUCCACAGGACGUCAAGGAUUUUGAAAUAAAGAAAAAAUAUCAUAUUUUGUGGAAGAAAUCCGCAGAGGACCAGGGACAAUACUACAAAGCACAGAUAUUAAAAUUGGCUGAAACUGAAGAGGAAUUAACUCGUGAGAGAAUCUCGAUACCCCCACUCGAUAGUGAUGAGGAAGACCGGUCAUCCUCGAGAAGGUCCAUGAAUCCAUCUUGUGACAACACAAAUGACAAGAAAAAAAAAAGGCAGCAGUCCAAAGCAUUAAAAAAAGGAAGAAUUUAAUGGAUAUCCUAAAAGAAAAGAAAAAAGUUAUCCAGACCAGUUUUGAAUCACAAGAGGAACAUGUCCCCAUGGCUGUGCACAAGGAACUGCAAGACAAAUACUACAACCUAAAAAAAAGGAUGCGAGAGGAGGAGAUGUCUAAUGAAGAAAACGAGAAAACAAUUAAAUUUUUAAAAGAAGAGAAAAGGGACAUGAAGGCUGAACUGCAGCAACUAAGGUGGUUAAACCUAAAUCUCCAAGAGGAGCUUUACAAAAAAAAAAAAAUAACACAGAAUGAGACCUCUUCUGCAGUCCAUACUCCACUCCCUCAACGGCCAUUUCAUGGUACAGAAAAACUAGCAGAAAAGCAAACAGAGAUGAUACCCAAAAUAAAACAAAAAGAACCACAGACCUCUUCUGCAGGCCACACUCAACUCCCACAGCAACCAGUUCUUGGUCCGGAAGAACCAGCAGAGGAGCUAGGACACAGGGAUGGCAAGGUAUUUGUAGUAUGUUCAGUUCAAUAAAGAGGAAGGAGACCGGGGUCGGUGUACGGGGCUCGUGGGAAACUUUAUUUAAAUAAUAAUAACACAAAAUAAACAAACGCAACAGGUGCGCGCACUUCACAGUCUCUAUCAGAAUCAGAAUCGGAAAGAGCUUUAUUACCAAGUAUGCUUGUGCAUACAAUGAAUUUGUUUUAGUGACAUAAGCUUCCAGUACACAGA